GUCAUUCAGUGCUUAUUAAGUUGACAGAGACACGAGGCAUCUGCAUCUUGUAUAGACUGAGGUGCUUCUGUUCCAACCUGAAGCAGACUGAUCAGUUCUUCCUUCCUUCACAGAGGAUGAAGUGGUACCCAUGCGUUGACUUAAAUGGUGCGCUAGUAGCUCCCACAGGUGUGCUAAAUGCAACAUCCUGAAAAGGGCCAGCCAUUU
Molecule: unclassified non-coding RNA, 207 nt
Filed under: Hevea brasiliensis (rubber tree)
Lineage: Eukaryota; Viridiplantae; Streptophyta; Magnoliopsida; Malpighiales; Euphorbiaceae
Source: RNAcentral